Molecule: ribosomal RNA, 378 nt
Filed under: uncultured cyanobacterium
Lineage: Bacteria; Bacillati; Cyanobacteriota
Description: bacterial SSU rRNA
Rfam family: Bacterial small subunit ribosomal RNA
Source: RNAcentral
CGAAAGCCUGACGGAGCAAUACCGCGUGCGGGAGGAAGGCCCUUGGGUCGUAAACCGCUUUUCUUAGGGAAGAAACCUGACGGUACCUAAGGAAUAAGCCUCGGCUAACUCCGUGCCAGCAGCCGCGGUAAUACGGAGGAGGCAAGCGUUAUCCGGAAUUAUUGGGCGUAAAGAGUCCGUAGGUGGUUCAGCAAGUCUAUUGUCAAAGGUCGGAGCUUAACUCCGGAAAGGCAGUGGAAACUGUUGAACUAGAGUAUGGUAGGGGUAGAGGGAAUUCCCAGUGUAGCGGUGAAAUGCGUAGAUAUUGGGAAGAACACCGGUGGCGAAAGCGCUCUACUGGACCAUAACUGACACUGAGGGACGAAAGCCAAGGUAGCG